RNAcentral lists this RNase P RNA (332 nucleotides) under marine eukaryotic metagenome. RNAcentral describes it as "Bacterial RNase P class A". It matches the Rfam family "Bacterial RNase P class A". From Rfam's summary of the family: Ribonuclease P (RNase P) is a ubiquitous endoribonuclease, found in archaea, bacteria and eukarya as well as chloroplasts and mitochondria. Its best characterised activity is the generation of mature 5'-ends of tRNAs by cleaving the 5'-leader elements of precursor-tRNAs. Cellular RNase Ps are ribonucleoproteins. The record is from RNAcentral.
GAGCAGGUCGGGCGGUCGCGGGCGCAGGAGCGUCCGAGGAAAGUCCGGGCUCCACAGGGCGGGAUGCUGGGUAACGCCCAGUGGGGGCGACCCCAAGGACAGUGCCACAGAAAACCACCGCCCCUUCGGGGGUAAGGGUGAAAAGGUGCGGUAAGAGCGCACCAGCGGUCGGGCGACCGGCCGGCUGGGUAAACCCCAUCCGGAGCAAGACCGAAUAGGAGGGAGAUGAGGUGGCCCGCCGAUCCCUCGGGUUAGGUCGCUAGAAGCGCCAGGCAACUGGAGCUCCAGAUAGAUGACCGCCCACGACAGGACCCGGCUUACAGACCUGGUCG